UUAUUUAAAGAAUGGAAACAAAUCCCAAAGAAAUAUGUUUUUCUUGGUGCUAGUAUAAAUCUGUGUCAUAUUUAUGUAUUAAAGAAUAUUUGUAUUAUAAAUUAGUGCAAAUAUCUACAAUUGUAUGCUGUAAACUUCAUAUUGUUUUAUUAAUAUAGUAAACAUGUACGUAAUGAAGGUCAUUUUACUUCAGAUAUGAAGGUCAUUUUACUUCAGAUAUGAAGGUCAUUUCACUUCAGAUAUCUAAAUCAUUUUCAUUUCAGCAACCUUUUUUAAAUUUUAUUUUCAAGUGUGCAUAAAUCUUUUUAUCUGAUUAGUCUAUUGAAAACCAGAAAAAGCAUGGUUAUUUAACAUUUCUAUUUCCACAUAGCAUUUCGUUAAAGGAAAUUAAAUUCUCGUUUGAAAAUAUAAGUUGUAAAAAUUGAACAAGAUUGUUUCAAACUGAAAAAAAGAUUAACAAAGCUUUGUCAACAUUUUGUUAAACCUUGACCAUUUUUUGGUAGUAGAAAAUAACAAAGUAAUGAUCAUAGUUGAUGUGGUCAAUAGAUUUUUACUGGUUAAACCGUUGGUUUUCCUGUUUGAAUGGUUUAACAAUUCUCAUUUUUGAGGGCCUUUAUAGUUUGUUGUAUGUUAUGAGCCAAAGCUUCAUGUUGAAGACUGUACUUUGACCUAUAAUGGUUUACUUUAACAAAUUGCGACUUGGAUGAAGAAUUGUCUCAUUGGCACUCAUACUUUUCUGGAAAGCUAUAUGAAAUAGUUGAAUUGAUCUUUUCACAACAAUUAUGAAAUAAAACCUUAAUGUUUUAAUAGAUAUUCAUACUCAUUGCCAUUCACAGCCAAUUUUCAUUGACUCAGGACCAAAAAAAAGAUAAUUUGGUCCUAAUUUUAAAGUUGUGCAGACACAUUUGUCAUAAUUUACAUCAAUAUUGUUUAAAACAAAGUGUAUGUUUGUUUAUGGUGGUCAAGGAAUAUAAUUAUCCUACCAUCUAGAGUAUUUUAAAACUAAUACCCUUUUGGAAACCAAAUAAAAUGUAGGAAACAAAUGAUUUCUUACAGUUUUAAAUUGUUUUUUUCUAUCCCAAGACUUCUUACAAUAACAUGUAACAAAUUUGUAUAAAAGAUCUUUAGAAUCAGAUAUUUAAAAGUACAUUUCCAAAUGGUUAUCAUUCACUUUAACUUAAUAUAAUAAGAUGUAUAGUGUAAUUUAUAUUUCUAAAUGGCCAUCAUCUAUUUACCUUACAUAGUAUAGUGUCUCAAAUGCUACCAAAUGGCCAUCAGGUCUUGAGCAUCAUAUAUUAAAUUUACACAUCCAAAUGGCCAUCAUUUAUUUACCAUAUAUAGUAUAGUGUGACUCAGGGAUCAGAUUAAUUUAAACUUCAACAACUGUUAAUACAGAAAUAUUUGUAACGUUUUUAUGAUGGUGAAUUUUAAAUUAUAUUAUCAGAAUCUGUUGACAGAUUUUUUUGAAUGGCAUUAGAUAAUUUUUCCAUUUAAAUCAGUUAGUCGAACAGGACUUGUCAUGUCUAUAGUGAAACAAUAUCAUGACUAAAUUCAUUACUUAAUUUUUUUUUAAUUUGAGAUUUCUUUAUUUUUCACUUGUGAUAUAAAAAGGAUAAUGACUUGACUCAGCUGAUACACAUUUGAUGCAGCAUCCAAUAUUGAAAAAGAUGAGUACAGCACUCAUGAACUCAAACAAUUGAAGUGAGUCUCCUGAUUAACAAUGGCAAUAAUGAAUAUUUGAAUGUACUGUUCUAGUUACAUGUAGUAUUUGGUAAUAAUUGUAAUAUCGUCAAAAUAUAGAGCCGUAGUGAAGGAAGAUCCAUGUUUUAAAUUUUACGUUUGUCAAACUAAAAUGAUGUGGUGGUUAAGCUCUAAUGUUAGACAUUCUUAGUAACAUAAAUUUUUCAUUAGGAAAAAAUUUGGAGAUAAAAUUGAGAAAAAGAAAUAUAAUUCAAGUUUUAAAUUUCUUCUUUUUUUUUUUUUUAGGUCUUAUAAUGAUUUGACAGUUUCAGAUUUAGGUGUUGGCCAAAAAGGUUGUAUAGUUUGGAAAAAAAAGCUUUUAAUGCAUUAUUUUAAUUUGUUACAUGGCAUUGCUACACUUGGCACUUUUUAAUGGACAAUUAUGCUCCCAGUUUCUUCAACCUAUGAUAGCUCUUCCCUGUUAGAUUAAGAUAAAUGUUUUGAAUUCUAUCAAGUAUAACAGGAAAAAUAUAGUUAUGUUCAUUCUCCCAUAUGUACUUGUUCAGUUAGAAAUCAGAGACCAAUAAUAAAUUAAUAAACAGGGUGGCUGGCUUUGGACCAUUUUAAAUACUCUAAUGUAUUUUGAAGUAAUUAAACAACUAAGAAAAAUUAUAUAUGAUAUUUUUAAACUGGGCAUUUUUCAUCCAGGACUGGACAUGCAUAUUUCUAUCUUGAAUAUAUGAGCUAUUGAUAAAUAUAUAUAUAUAUGUUUAUAAAUAAAGAGGUAGACUACAAAUUGAAGAUUGUCAACAGCUUAUAUAUUUUUAUAGAUAGUAAGGGUUUUUGCAGGAUAAAUGUUUUAUGCCUAUCUUGUAUUGGAUAAAUUUGACCUGAAUAGCUACAAAUGUAUUCAUAAUUAAAGGUAAUUGUAAGAUAUUACAUGUAGUGAUACCCCAUCUCCCCCCCCCCCAAAGGUCUGAAAACAUUUUAAAGUUUGGACCAUACAUGCAUUGAUAUAUAUUUUAGCAAGUGACAAGUUUAGUUAUACACAACACCACACUGAUAUUAGAAAUAUCUAGCCAUGUGAAAAAAAGGAAGAUGUGGUACAACUCUCCACAAGAGACCAGAAUGACACAUAAAUUAACAACUAUAGGUCACUGUAUUACCUUCAAUAAUGAGCAAAGCCCAUACUGCAUAGCCAUCCAUGUAUUAAUUAAGCUAGGUGUGUAAGCUUUCCAAACUUAGUAUGUGUUGGAUUAUCUACAACACAUACUGAGGAACCAGAGAGAAAAAAAGCAGUCUAGAAAUUUAUUUUCAGGUCUUUUAUAUUUGAUAUUCAAAUUUUUACUUCUUUUUGCAGCUUGAAAAAAUACUGUAAUUUACCAUACAAUGGUUGUUUUGACCAAGAUAUAAUUACAAAAUUUAUAUCAUGACUUUUGUUAACUUCACAUCUCUGCAAACAUUAGUACCAACAUAGAAUACUGUGGAUUCACUUAUUUUCAUGGAUCGUGGUAUUAUUGUCGUGGUUACUAGGUAUUGUGAUUUUGACAACUUCUGUAGAAGAGACUACUAGUAUAGGAAAUCUAUAUGUGUGGAGCACUUAAAUUAAUGGUUACUUUUACCUACGAAAUCCAUUAAAAUGAGAACCAACAAAUAAUAAUGAUUCCACAGUAUAUGUUGUAGAACUUCUGUAUUGGCAGCAGAAUUGUUAUGGUAUGGGGAGUUCUGCUAAUCAAAGUUUUCUAUGAUAUUACCAAACAUUUUAAUAUGAUAUUGACAUGUUGAAUAACAUUUUAUUUUUUAAACUUUAAAAUAGUGUAGUAGUGCUGACUGUCUUUGUGAUAUUAUUGUAAUUGUGAUUUUGUUUUAUUGUAAUGUCCGUAUUUAUAAAUAGAAAUUAAUGUCAAUUGAAAAAUAUACAUUUAUGGACCAUCUAGGGUUACGUUUCAUAGAAUUUAUGUCCAAGGACUUUUUAUUAAUUAGAAAAUUUUAUAGUCAUGACUUAAAUAAGAAUAGAACUGCUCAAAGAAGAGUUUUUGUAUCAGUUGAUGGUCCAAGGAUCAUUCUAUUAAUGAUGUUAGUAUAAUUGAUCUUUUCUUAUUGUUGAAUAUGAAAUAUAUUUAUGAAGAGAAA
RNAcentral lists this long non-coding RNA (3813 nucleotides) under Mytilus galloprovincialis (Mediterranean mussel). The record is from RNAcentral. Lineage: Eukaryota; Metazoa; Mollusca; Bivalvia; Mytilida; Mytilidae.